UUUUGAAGUAAUAGCUCUUUGGGAGCGAAGCACGCGACAAAGCAGCAUCACUAUGGUCUAUUUAAUCUCACAAGUACACUGCAUUAUACCUUUAACUCCAAAACUUCGGUCAUGAGAAUUGAGGAUGAUAAAAAAAAAAUUAAGCAAUCAUAAAAGAACUCUGAGUGUAACUGUGUACAAGCAAAGGAAUGAAGAGUACCGCACACUGAAAAGCUGAGUGCUACGCAAUGUGCAGCAACAUCACAAACAUUCUGAAAUCCCAUAAUCUACUAAACCAGCUAAGUUUCUUCUUCUUUCUUCAUUUCUUGUUUAUUGAGGACAAUGAAAAGCUUAAGAGUGGGGGAAAAGCUUUGUGAAAUUUAUGUUGUUGAUUGUCAUGUUUGGUGUUUUGUUCCGGUCUUUUUUGAUAUUUUUUUUUUUAGCUGAGUUGAUGUUGUUUGGUUAUGGCGUAGUACAAGGAAGAUGUUGUAAAAUUUUUGAUUGAAAUUUUUGUUUACUGCUGGCUGCAUGUCUAAUUGUCUAAAAAAUAUGCUUCAGUGAAAUUCCAAACCAAGGAAUGUGAAUUGUUAAAAAAUAAAUAAAAGAAAAAAUGUUUUCCUUUUUGUCACUAAUUGACUUGUAUUGGAUCACUAAAAUGGUAUAUAAGAUGGCAUAAAUCCUUCGUUAACAUUUGUUUGUGGUAAGGUGGAUUGCUUUCUCUUUGUGCAAUGAAACUCGAAAGGAGGGCCACGAACUUCGUAAGACUCAAAUUCAUCUAUAUUCAUCCUCCUUCUUGAUUGCUCAAAUUGGGACUUGCAUUUUAGCAUCCAGAGACCGAUGAUCAAAGUGUGGGGAAAAUGAUAAAAGACAUUUUUUUUUAUUAUUAGAACUUUCAGAGUUUAGGCUUGUUAUUUAUUUUACUUUACAAAUUAUUCCCUUUGCUUAGCCUUUUUGUGCCUAAAUGUCCUAUUUUUGGUUCACCUACAUUACAAACUUAUGGCCUUUUACCCAUCUUGUGCUAAACGGAGUAUUAUUAUUUGGGUUGUGUUGUAAGUUGUUGAAUGAAAAGAAAAAAAAGGGAAAGAAUUGUUUAUAUGACAAAAAAAUGUAGAAUUAUAAUGGGCCGAAAAAAAAGAAAGAAAAAAAGUUCUGAAAGUUGCAAAAAAAUAAAAAUAAAAAAACAAGUUAUCAUUUGAGUUUGAAUUAUGGUAUUGAUAUUCUAGUUGGAGUUGUUUGUGACGUUUAUAUUAAAAAUGUCAGACUUUUAUUGUUUAUAUUCUCUUUAAGCACGACACUUUUACCACCACUUUUCCAAAUUUUCCUACCCUUAACCUUAACCCCAUUACAACCAAAUAAAAUUCCUUUUUGAUUUUCCAUUGCACUAUUGGUCUCCUAACGGUGGAGGGUUAGAUUUUUCGAGGGUCAUCAAAUCGAACAGAGGCGCAAGCUAAUAUGGUAGAGCAUCCCUAGGGUGGAUUCAAACAUGGGGGAGAGAAGCGGUAAGAUUGACUGGUUAAUGAAGGUGCAAAAGUCUUGGUUUGUAUCAUGAUCCAUUCUUGUUAAUUUUGACAUCAAAAUAAUUUGUGAAAGAAAAUUGAGCUUAUACUUGAGAAAUAAUUUAUUUCGUUAAUUAGUUUGAAAUUUCACUUUAUUGUAAGUUUGGAUUUUGAUCGAGGGCAACCAAAGACUAAGUGUGGGGGAAUUUGAUAAGUGCAUAAUAUACCAUAUUUUUAGUCUCUAAUAUUAGUCUUAUAACUGCCUUAUAUUAGUUAUUUUAUGAAACCAUUUACUUUAAUUAUUUUAGACUUUAUUUUAAUCAGUAUUUUAUCUGAUAGCUAUUUUUAUAAUAAUUGGUACUUAAUAUUAAGUUGUGUGUUUUUCAUAGGAAAGCGAGAAGAAAAAGGAGUGGGAUUGACAAAAACAAAUAACUAAAAGAAGCCCAUUUGCUUUACUACUCCAAGGCACCAAGUACCACAACUAUUACGUGCCAUCAUCUAAAAAAACAGAGAGAUAAGAAGAAAAGGAGGAAGAGGUGCGUGAAAAACAGGGAACCAAACCCACCAUUAUCAAAGUUUCAUCCCCAACAAGAAUUGUAAUUAUCCUCCGAAAUUCAAGGCAAGAUAUAAAGAAAAUGAAUCUCUAUCUUAUUUCACAAAUUUAUCUCUUUAAUCCCAGAAAACCUAGGUUGUUUUGGUUAUAAAAAUCCCUAAUUAUUCCUUCUAAAAACACACAACUUAGCCAAAAAUUAUAUGAAGUGCAAGAUAGUUCAAGUAAGUCCAUAAUUGGGGAAUUGGUGAAGAGAAGAUAGCCAUUGUAGGGAAGCUUAAUCUCAAGUCCAAGGUUGAACAAGGACAAAGGUGAAUUGCGAGGUCAAAGCUCGGUUAAUUCGGAGGUUCUUGAAAGUAUAGUUCAUAAGUCUUCUUCUUACUCAAUUGUUUGGAUUACUUUGCUAGUUUAAUUAAUUACGUUGAUUAGAAUAUUGAUGUGAUAAAUUGGUCUUCGAUUUUAUAAUCUAUUUGCAUAAUUUCUUUCAAUCUA
Long non-coding RNA from Chenopodium quinoa (quinoa), 2517 nucleotides. RefSeq lists it as uncharacterized. The transcript has 2 exons. Lineage: Eukaryota; Viridiplantae; Streptophyta; Magnoliopsida; Caryophyllales; Amaranthaceae. The record is from RefSeq and is a predicted model, not a curated record.